UGAUAUUUAGUCAAUAAAGUUAUUUUUUUUUUAAUGAAAAUCACUCUCUCCCUCUCCCACUCUCAAGGGCUAAAACACAAGCUUCUUAAUCAGUGUUGUCACCUUAAAGCAGGUGCUCUUGUGCUAGUAUUGGUAAUUCAACAAGGUUUUAUGACCUUCCUUGGAAAGGUUACAAUAUCUGAGUGUAAACUGCCAAAGUGCCAAAUUCAGUGCCGGUCAGCAUAUAUAAGAUCAUGAAAUACCCAGUCUUAGUGAUAACCAAAAACAAAUCCAGCUGUAAUGCACAAUUCCCUAUGCAUGGGGCACAAAACAGGAGGUCCCGUAAACCUUGUUUUUGUCCUGCUUGUUUGGACCUGCACAGGGUUAUCUUCUGAGGGGACCACAGUGGACCCCCUCGUCUCAGCCCCUGGUUUUGCACUGCAGUUGUUUUGUGCUCGGGGACUAGGCACAUGUAUUCAUUUGGAGCCAAAGACUGCUCUCUCUAAUUUCUCUGGUGUCCUGUUGAAUCUUAGGAGAACAUGAGCCCUUGGACCACACCUCAGGACUACAUGGCCUGACAACUUCUAGAUGUCACCAAAGUCCUCUUGGUGGUGAUUCAGAUUAAGUUGAUGCAUGAUGAGUCCUGAUGUCACCUGGUUACUAAGGACUCUGGCCACAGCCCACCUGCAUUUAUUGGCAUGCUGGACAUCUGAAUGUGGCCCAAAAAUGCCAUGUACUCUCAUAAUCAGUCAGAGUCCAGCUUCUCUGUUGGUAUCUCCUUCCUAGGGUUCAACCCAACUAGAGAUUUUUUGUAGCCACUGCGCAUCAAUUUCGUGUUGUUACUGGCUUGUUGUGGUUUUAGCCAGGGUCUCUGUGUCAGCACUUUGUGACAACUGCUGAAUUUCAAAGCUCUCUCUAAAAUAAAUACAUUUGAUUGAUUGAUUAAUCAAAUAUAUAUUACUUUUCAAUUUUGUUUAAUUGCAUUAAAAACAAAGCUUACCUAACCUAAGCCUCUCUUCUCAAUUAGAAUUGUUUUACUUAGUCCUGACCAUUGCAUAUGCCAUGUAAUCAAGAGUAUCGAUAUAGCUUUUAGCUUGUGAGACUGCUUUGAAAUAAAUCUUAAUCCCCACGGUUUCAGAUUGAUUUCAAUGUGAAGAACAAGAACAGCACACAGUGAGCAGACAUUUUUCUCCCCUAUCCUUUCGCCGUAUUAUUAUUUUAGCCAGCUCCUGUUAUGAUUGGAAAUGUUUGUUAAAUUCCCUCCGUGAAAGCGACACGUGUCACGCCUGCUUCCGUCUGCAACAUUGUGCCCAUAUGUCCUUCAUGGAGCGAGAGAUUGUUAGAUGCCGAUGACCCACAUGUUUGAGUUAUCCGCGUUUACCAAUGUUUUAAACAUUGAGUCUGGUCUGCAGUGUUAGCUCCCGACUACCCUAAUGUCAAUAAAGUGAAGGGUAAACCCUAAAUUGAAAUAAAAACAUGCCAUGAACAAGUCUUCAGAAGGUUCUAUGGCUGAGAGCGUCUUGACAGGCUGCAUCACCACUUGGUCUGGCGCCUGCAGGGCCACUUCAGUGGGUGAGUUCAUCACUGUGCCUGAGCGGAGUUCCUUUCUUUCAUUUCACUCGACUAUUUCCCAGACCCUACCCACUCUGAAGCAAGCAAUGUCUUUUGAUUGAGAAGGGGAGUGACUCCGGUCGCCCUUGAAGUCAGACAAGACGCAACCAGUGGUCAGGAAUGGGUUGAUGAGGGAAGUGAGAAAUCCAUCCGAAUUUAAGAAGGAUUACUCAACGGAGACUGCUCUCAUCUGUGUCGCAGAGGGUCGUUGCACCAAGCUAAGUGUCUCUUCUCUGUUCUAGACAAUAGUUAGUGUGUGUAAAAUUCUCAAGUUGUCAAAGACAGUUCUUGCAAUUGUCAAAACAUACACAGAUUUUGUUAAUCUAUUCAUGACUACAGUGAACUCCAAAAGUAUUUGGUCAAUGACAGACAUUUUCAUGGCCUUGCAUUCAAGCGCUUUGGAUUAAAAUUACACAAUCCCUAAGGUCUAUUGGGUUAAAGUGCAGAUUUAAUUUGAGGUUAUUUUCAUUCAUCUUUAUUUUGUGGACAGAAUAACAUUAUGUAUAAUAAAGUAGUCAUGUUAAAUAUUUGGUCACAUACAGUUUUCUGUGUGUUCAGUGACUACCAGAAGUCUGCGACCCAUUGACUUCAACAGACAUCUUCCCUGGUGAUGAGGAGACAAGAUGUUGCUGUACGCCUCAGAACUCAUCCCGAUGUCAGCAGUUACAUCAUCAAUCAUCAUCAAUGAAGAAAGUGCUCUUCUAGCCAUCACUCUGCGUCUGGCGGACAGUGUCUCAAACCCGUGACCCGGAGCUCCCCAGGUGGACGCACUAGCCACCGCUCCAAAUAGGGACGUCCAAUUUGGAAGGGCGAGUAGUGGUCAUACCAAGGUGCCUGCAGUAUGAUAGUGUCUCACACAUCCACAUCUACUUCCUGGACAGUGUUCCUGAUAUGGCAGACUGUCUUUCUUUUUUUGCAUUGUAAUGUGAUUUAUGUAGCACAAUCUGCUCUCUCUUACCAUUUCAUUUGAAUGAAGUGUCUAAUGUGAGUUAUACAGCACAAGUUGUUCUCUCUUACCAUUGUAUGCGAACAAAGUGUAUAAUGUGAUUUAUAUAGCACAAGCUGUUCUCUGUUACAAAUUCAUGAGAGCGAAGUGUGUAAUGUGAUUUCUAUAGCACAGGUUGUUCUCUCUUACCAUGUGAAUGUAGUGUGUAAUGUGAUUUAUAUAGCACAGGCUGUUCUCUCUUACCAUAUGAAUGUAGUGUGUAAUGUGAUUUAUAUAGCACAGGCUGUUCUCUCUUACCAUGUGAAUGUAGUUUGUAAUGUGAUUUAUAUAGCACAGGCUGUUCUCUCUUACCAUGUGAAUGUAGUUUGUAAUGUGAUUUAUAUAGCACAGGCUGUUCUCUCUUACCAUGUGAAUGUAGUUUGUAAUGUGAUUUAUAUAGCACAGGCUGUUCUCUCUUACCAUGUGAAUGUAGUGUGUAAUGUGAUUUAUAUAGCACAGGCUGUUCUCUCUUACCAUGUGAAUGUAGUGUGUAAUGUGAUUUAUAUAGCACAGGCUGUUCUCUCUUACCAUGUGAAGUGAAGUGUGCAUCGAGAAUGACGACAGCAUCAAGCCUUAAGACGUUGCUGUUAAUUAUCCUACAUUAAAUUUGUCAAUCAUGACUGG
Long non-coding RNA from Esox lucius (northern pike), 3199 nucleotides. The record is from Ensembl. NCBI's taxonomy places the organism in Eukaryota, Metazoa, Chordata, Actinopteri, Esociformes, Esocidae.